CCCAGACUCCUACGGGAGGCAGCAGUGGGGAAUUUUGCGCAAUGGGGGCAAUCCUGACGCAGCGACGCCGCGUGGGUGAUGAAGGCCUUCGGGUUGUAAAGCCCUGUUGGGGGGGAAGAUAAUGACGGUACCCCCUGAGGAAGCCCCGGCUAACUACGUGCCAGCAGCCGCGGUAAGACGUAGGGGGCGAGCGUUGUCCGGAAUUACUGGGCGUAAAGGGCGUGUAGGCGGCCUUUCAAGUCGGCUGUGAAAUACCCCGGCUCAACCGGGGGGGUGCAGUCGAAACUGGGGGGCUUGAGUGCAGGAGAGGGGGGUGGAAUUCCCGGUGGAGCGGUGAUAUGCGUGGAUAUCGGGAGGAACACCGGUGGCGAAGGCGACCUUCUGGCCUGUUACUGACGCUGAGGCGCGAAAGCCGGGGGAGCAAACAGGAUUAGAUACCCUGGUAGUC
Molecule: ribosomal RNA, 448 nt
Filed under: uncultured prokaryote
Description: partial 16S ribosomal RNA
Rfam family: Bacterial small subunit ribosomal RNA
Source: RNAcentral